AACUUCCUGGUCAUAUGCACAUCUUCAUAGUACAUGUAUGUCCUUAUUAUCUAAAAAGGUUUCAUAAAAUUCUGUUGUGUGGUUUGAGAGGAGCUGAGAUGACAAACUGUUGCAGUAGUAUUUUGAAGCAAAUAAGUUCAAAGUAACUCCUAGAAAAAAAAAUUGAAUCGUUAUUUCCUGUUGAUAUGCACAUCUACAUAGUAUGUCCUUAUUAUCUAAUAGGUUUCAUGAAAUUCUGUUGUGUGGUUUGAGAGUAGUUGCGUUGACAAGAAACAGGACUGACGGACAGACGGAUGGACAGAUGGACGGGUCAAAAACAUUAUACCCUCCCCAACUUCGUUGUGUGGGGUAUAAUAAUGUUUAUUGUAUGAAAGUUGAAUCAAAAAGAAGUUAGAUGAUAAAAACAGCACUACAUGUAUAUAAAAUAUUCUGUAUAAAUCAGUGAUUCCCUCACGGUCUCUUUU
This 464-nucleotide long non-coding RNA is filed under the name Mytilus galloprovincialis (Mediterranean mussel). Lineage: Eukaryota; Metazoa; Mollusca; Bivalvia; Mytilida; Mytilidae. The record is from RNAcentral.